UACGAAGGGUGCAAGCGUUACUCGGAAUUACUGGGCGUAAAGGGCGCGUAGGCGGCCUGCUAAGUCGAACGUGAAAUCCCCGAGCUCAACUCGGGAACUGCGUCCGAUACUGGCAGGCUUGAAUCCGGGAGAGGGAUGCGGAAUUCCAGGUGUAGCGGUGAAAUGCGUAGAUAUCUGGAGGAACACCGGUGGCGAAGGCGGCAUCCUGGACCGGCAUUGACGCUGAGGCGCGAAAGCCAGGGGAGCAAACGGG
Molecule: ribosomal RNA, 253 nt
Filed under: uncultured bacterium
Lineage: Bacteria
Description: partial 16S ribosomal RNA
Rfam family: Bacterial small subunit ribosomal RNA
Source: RNAcentral